AAGAAUUCUAUCGAGUCUCAGAGGGAGCAUGGCCCUGCCAAUACCUUUAUUUUGGACUUCUAGCCUCCAGAACUGUGGGAAAAUAAAUCUCUGUCAUUUGAAGCCACCCAGACUGUCGUACUUUGUAGGGGCAGCCCUAGGAA
Molecule: microRNA precursor, 143 nt
Filed under: Chlorocebus sabaeus (green monkey)
Lineage: Eukaryota; Metazoa; Chordata; Mammalia; Primates; Cercopithecidae
Description: miRNA (ENSCSAG00000024400.1)
Source: RNAcentral